CGAGCGUACACAGGUGCUGCAUGGCUGUCGUCAGCUCGUGUCGUGAAGAUGUUGGGUUUAAGUCCCGCAACGAGCGCAACCCCUGCAUUCAGUGCCAUCGGGUAAUGCCGGGCACUCUGGAAGGACUGCCAUCGACAAGAUGGAGGAAGGUGGGGAUGACGUCAAGUCAUCAUGGCCCUUAUGUCCAGGGCGACACACGUGCUACAAUGGCCGGCACAACGGGAAGCGAGUUCGCGAGGACGAGCGGAUCCCUCAAAGCCGGUCGCAGUUCGGAUUGAAGUCUGCAACUCGACUUCAUGAAGCUGGAAUCGCUAGUAAUCGUGGAUCAGCCAAGCCGCGGUGAAUACGUUCCCGGGCCUU
This 360-nucleotide ribosomal RNA is filed under the name uncultured Synergistaceae bacterium. RNAcentral describes it as "bacterial SSU rRNA". It matches the Rfam family "Bacterial small subunit ribosomal RNA", at positions 1025 to 1382 of the family's 1533-position model. The record is from RNAcentral. Lineage: Bacteria; Thermotogati; Synergistota; Synergistia; Synergistales; Synergistaceae.